RNAcentral lists this long non-coding RNA (1047 nucleotides) under Fukomys damarensis (Damara mole-rat). RNAcentral describes it as "lncRNA (ENSFDAG00000028024.1)". The record is from RNAcentral. Lineage: Eukaryota; Metazoa; Chordata; Mammalia; Rodentia; Bathyergidae.
GUUGGGCUUGGCAGAGGCAUUAGCUAACAAGAAAGGGACAUGUGACGGGUUAGCGGGUAGUGUGAUGUCUGCCGCAGACACAACAGAACUGAAGGAGGAAAAUUAAAGCUGGGUGAAGCAGAGAAAGAAGAUGACAACCAAUGUGUCAUCAUCUCAGACACAAAAAGAAUGCUCUGGCUGGGAAGACAUAAAGCAGACCAAGAAAACAUUCAUGAACGAGGACCGCCUUGAGUUAAGAUGGAGGAACCAGCCUUCCAUAAUAACCACAGAACAAAGGAAAUAAUGGCAGACACAACAUGAUAGACGUGACGUGAACGACAGCCCUCAGAGUGUGCGGCCGGAAGUGAGUGAAAUCCUUCAGAUACACUGAUCAGUGAAGAGGAGACUCUCGGCCAGUCUAUUCUGAACAUGACCCUCUCAUCACUGAGGUAGAAUCGCAGAAAUGAAGACAGAUAGAAAGGACACAAGGAAAAUUGUACUUUUAAGAAAAACUACAGCUUUGCGGCACAAGCCCAGUUCAUUUUUAUUUUCUUUUCCUCUCUUCUCCCAAGACACAAUAAGCCUGAGCAAUUCCCUUCUACCUAUGAGUUGACCACCUCAUUUCAUCCAUAGUUUAUGCUUCUCCUCAAGGAAAGGACAACAAGAGGGGGCAGCAGAUCUCCUUUCAAACACGUGUAAAUGGUUUGCAUUCUGACCUGUCCUGCCAGAGCAGGACCUGACAGACAGUAGGGACACACAUCCCAGAUCACCCGUCUUGAAGACAUCCCCAAGCCCCAUAACGACAGCAGCUCUGGAUCAUGAUGUGCCCCUCUCUCUCUUUAAAGCCCUCACUCUGUUUCUUCAAGUGUGCACUUUUAAAUCUUUGGUCUAAUAAAUACCUCUAUGCCUCUUACUAAAGGAUUCUGAAAACCCUUUUUCCAUGACUGGACUCAGCCCACCUGCAUUUUUCUCUACAGCUAGGGUGGGGUUUAGAAAGCUCCUAGGACCCUGUCAGUGACACCACCACUGCUUGUCGACUAAAGCCUUUGAUUUUUUUGCAUAUCUAUG